Ciona intestinalis (vase tunicate) is the source of this 415-nucleotide non-coding RNA. The record is from RefSeq and is a predicted model, not a curated record. Lineage: Eukaryota; Metazoa; Chordata; Ascidiacea; Phlebobranchia; Cionidae.
UGUUGGUCUGCACCAGCAAGAUACUUAGCUUUCAGUACACCAGGGAUUUCCACAGCAAGGCCCCAGAUUUCUGAAGUCACCUUAAAUGUGAUUGUUUUCAUGUAUGGCUGACAUUUGACAAUUUAAACAACCUGUUAGUGAGCACUGGAAAGCAGUUACGUUAAGUGUCUUGGCCAAGAUCCAACAAUAGUAUCAGUGGUUGAGCAUUGCAAGGGACCUGUACAAAUGGAUUUGAUUGUAGUAUUCAUGAAAUAGACGUGUCCACUACCAUCAGGAUUCCAGUUAUUGACUUGGAAUUUGUAACUUGGGAUCGUCUUGUUCUGAAAAAUUAUUGCUUACUUGGACAAAAUUCUGGAAAACAUGGUUUGGUUUCGACUUUUUGCUCGCAGUUUAUUCCUGAACAUUUCCAACGGCG